AGAGGCUCCCGGGGGGACCCCGCUGCGGCUUUUUGGUAGUUGGAGGGGGGUUGUGAGGCAGAUGGAGAGCGGCUGGUGGGCGAUCAGGACGAGGGCAUGGUUGUAAAGUAAAACGAGGAGAGGUUUAGGGUAGAGGUCAGGAGGAAAUUCUUCACUCUCAGGUGUGAAGGUGCUGGCGCAGGCUGCCCAGGCAAGCUGUGGCUGCCCCAACCCUGUCAAUGCUCGAGGCCAGGCUGGACGGGGCGCUGGGCAACCUGGUCUGGUGGGUGGCAUCCCUGCCCACGGCGGGGGGCUGGAAUGAGGUGAUCUUUGAGGUCCCUUCCAACCCAAACCAUUCUGUGAUUGUGAUGGUGCUGGAGGAUUUGUGUGCUGUUGUGUGCCGAGGGGUUUGGAGGAGGUGGGGAGAGUUGGGACCCACUUUGGAUGUGGGCCUGGCAGGAGAGUUUUUAAGUUUGUAGCAUCUCAGAGGAGGCUCAAGGGAGAGUUUGGGGGAUGGGUACCUGGAGGUGAAGGCCAAGGCCUCUGGACAGCACAAGUGCUUGUCUUGGAGGCCUGGGUAGACCUGUGAUGUUUAUACUCCACCUCCAACUUACCUGCGGGUCUUACCUGGGAGACUUGUCCACCCUUUGUCAGACACAGCUAUACUAUACUUCCUUCAGGAUGUGCAGCAGCCCUUUCUAAAACGACUUUUCAGACUAAGGCACGUGAAAAACGCCUUAGAAUUCAAGGAGAUACGUGUGAUAAAAAUGGGUCUUGAACCGUAAGUGGGUCAAAAUGAGGAAACAGCAUAACUGUAAAAUUCUGUGUUCUUGCUGAAUUUAUAGAUUAAUUAUUUGACAUCGUGCUGUGAAUAACAGAAGGUAUAUUUCUACUGGCAUGGUGGUCAGUUUUAUAUUGAUGAUCUUUUGGAAGGGAUAAUCAAUAUAAAAAACAUGCAUGUUGCAGAAAGUCAGCCCUAUGAGGGGAAACAGUUUGAUAUGGUGUAUGGUGAAGCAUAAUAUUAGUUUUAUUUUAGAUCUGAAUUACAAUAUGAAUUUCACAGAGUGACUUGUUUUAUUUUUAUUUAUUUAUUUAUUUUUAAGUAAACUGAUGAAGACAGCUCAUUGAUUUGGGUGGAAGUAUCUUGAAGUCGUGCCUGUUCACAAGCACAGAGUAAUGGGGGGGGAAGCUGAUAAGUUGUAUGCUCUUUGACAGUUCACUGCAUCUAAAAUAGAUUAGCUGUUUGAUGACAGAUUAAAGAGUAGCUUUCAUGCUUAAUGUUUGUUUUCUAAUGUGUGGGGGGUGUAUCUGUGUACAUACCUGCUACAAUAACAUGCCUUAUUUCUCUCUGACUGCGUGCUUCAGGCCAUAUUCUUAUAAUCCCAUUUUUUUUCAGAUGGAGCUUGCCAUGGCACCCUAAUAAAGUCAGUAGAUAUUCGCAAUGAUGUGUGCUUCCACCUGUUGACUCUGAAGAUGUGUCUAUGCACAUUUCUCUUCCAACUCACCUGAAUAGUUACAGGGAAGCAUUAGGCAUGCUGAUACAGGUUUCUGUCAGGAUUGCCUACGAGGAAGAGGUGAUAGACUGGGUUUUUCUUUCAACCCCAUUUUUUUCAGGAAUCUGUGGUAAAUCUGCUGAAUUUGUGGGUACUGGGCUGUAAAGAUUUCAAGUUAGCUAGUGUUCUGUCUGCCUACAAAUAUACACUGUAAGUGUUCCUAGUAUAUGAAAGUUAGUAAUUAACAUUGGGCCUAAAAAAAAAAAUCCAGCUUUGCACUGGUGUACAUCAAAAUUAUAAAUCACCUGACUUUAGGAAGAGCAGCAGUGGCACAUGCUACAGAUAAUGUAUUAUUUCUUUGUAUGGAAAGAAGAACUGAUUACAGUGACAUUACACUGAUUAAAGUGGAUAUUCAUGACUCCCUUAAGACUUUGCAGUGGAAACAUCAGCCAAGAAGAAUGGUAAUGUCAUCUCUAGAGUAGGGGGCUUAUGUGUACAAACAGCAUAUACGGUUUCUGAGGUUUGUUAGACAUGAAUCACCAGGGUUUGUUUUGCUUUUCUGUCCCUUGUGUCCCUCUCUUUUAUAAUAAGCUCUUUGUCUUUUUUAUUUUAAACUAUAGGUUUGUUUUCAGGGAUGACUUUUUUCUCUAUUUUUGAAUCACAAGUAAGCAAAAGAAGUUUAUGCAACUGGGAGUGCUUUUUAUACAGUUUUUACUUCUAGUAGAAAUGGUUCCCAAUGACAUUUCUGUGAGCCUUUGCCAUGACAAGAAAACAGAGAAAAAAGUAAAACAAGCUCUGUGAAGUAUAAUUGUGAAACUACACAAAGUAUAAGGGAAAGACAAAAGCAAGGAUGUGAUCUGAAAACCAGUAAAUCUAAAGCUGACAUCAUUCCUGUUUAACUGAACACUAAGUUAUUUUAUCCUUUUUGGAAUAAAAUAAUGAUUUGGCCACAAGGCUGAAUGUGUGUAAGAGCGUAUUUCUCUGAAAAUAUUUCCUCUCUUGGGAAAGUCACUAAUAACUGCAUUGUUAACUUAGCUUUGAGGUUUUGAGGGGUAAUUUUUUUUCUCUAACAGUAAACACCAGUGAAUGUGGCAUAAUACAACAUAAAUUGUGUACGGAACGCCUUGCAUGCAAGGCAAUGUCAUUUAUAAUUUGUACAUGUAGGUGGAAGAGCCUUUACUCUUAGGAGAGUAUUACAGGAAGAUUCAGGCAGUGGUGGAUAGAUGAGUUGUAUGUUUCUAGGAGAUCGUUAGAUCCUUACGUGAAUCGUGCUUUCAGAACAGAGCAGGGCCUUUAACAGCCAUAGCAGAACUCUUGAGUUGUUGCCCGGUUGUCGCUGCAGUACUGGUUGAGUGAUAUGAAUGUCCAGCUGCCCUAAAACAAACACAGCGUGCCUCAGCCCAUUUUUAAUGCUUGCACACAAUUAACUGCCUUCACUCAUGCUUCCUGGGCAUUGCCUUUUUUUUUUUUUUCCCCAAGUUUGAUCUUAUUAAAAUGUAAUUUAUGGAGGGCUGGUUGCUCUCUUUUUUUUUUCCCACACCAGUGGUUCCUCUUGGCUUGCACCUUCUUCGUAUAUGUAACUAUUUCUGUAUUCCAAAGUUAGAAUAGGUUGCAAGGGGUAUAUACUGAAAUCAUAGAAUCAUAUGCCUGCAUAACGUGACAAACGCGGUGUCCUUGGAGGAGCAGGUAAUACACUGGAACAGGAUGCAUUACUGCAGUUCUGGAAGGAGCAUCCCCGAGGAAAUACUUGGAAUCCCUUCAGAGAUAAGGCUGGGAAUGGGAGUUGUGCCCAUCCAUUUAGAGCAGAGCUAUAGCCUGUUGCUAUAGGAAUAAAAAAUACUCACUGAAAUAAAAUACUUCGCUGUAUGAAGUUAAAAAUAGUUUUGUGGUAGGGUGGGUUAAAGCUGCAGUGAAAGGGAGGCUAUUAUGUAGAACUCCUGAACCAUCUGAGGUCACUGCUGCCAAAAGAAUGGAGUAAUAAAUAGUGACAGUCAGCUUAUUUGGAAAUGACAGCUCGGAGAUGAGUGCAGACCAGUUUGUUCCUUAUGGCUCUUCUGGACAUCUUGUGACUCUCCCAUAGAAAACUGACAGGCUGAAAGGUGGCAGCGCUCUAUGACCGUCUCUCCAUUUCAUUUGUGUGUGAGUGCAUAUAUAUAUAUAUAUUUCUUUUUGGAGUUUUCUCUCAGUAGGAGUUGGGAAUCUGUUCAAAUGCAGCAACGCUCACAGCUGCUCCUGUACACAGUGUGCCACAGCGAAACAAAUUGAUCGAGCUGUAGAGACAUGGCACCUACUUCUCUAGAUCAGAUAAUUGUGCUCAUUGUUCUUCCUGUUUAACAAAAGGCUUCAGCAGUAGCCAGAGUAUCAACUCUAGCUCCCAGGUUUUGCUGAAAAAAUUCUGGGACGAAUGAGUGAAACAUGAGGAGGCGUCUGUCGGGAAUUCACAUCACGGUUGAAGAAUGAUGUAUGAAUGUUGAAACCUUGACAAAGACGUCCUUUUUCUCAAAUGUUCAAGGCCUAAUAACAACAAAGUGUGUAAUGUCUGUUAUGAAAAAUUCUUUUUCGUAAUUGCCUACCUCUCUGGUCUUUUUUGUUUUCAUGACCAUACAUAAAUGGCAGGCCAUCAGAAGAGAUGAGGCACGGGAGGAUGAGUGCCCAAAUUCUGAGCACUACAAGAUGCAAUGAAGUGCCUCUUCACUGGGCUUCUCAGUAAAUCUUGCUGCUUUGGGGCUCUUUGGAGGACGUGCUCAUCUGGAAGCAGCAUUAUAGUUACAAGUUGACUUUAUGUAUUAAAAUGGAGUUUAGUUUUCAGGUUUAUUUCAUGCAGCCAGCAUGGUUAUCCCUGCUCUCCUAGCAUGGCUAAUUUGUAGUCUAUGUGACUUAUUCACAAAUAUCUUUAAGUGUAGCGUUAGCUCCUUCUUUAAUAUAAAGCUGUAAGAAGACCAGGCAAAAAUUAGUCAGCGCCUAUCUAGUGACACUUCUGAUUUUUAAGUGCUCUUAAAAAGCAAGGCUGUAACUCUUCUUCAUCUCCUAUAGCAAGCUAUUUUUUUGUAAAUUUUGUAUGAAGUAUACCUGAGAAAGCAUGGCUGGUUAAUCACAGAACUGAAAAAUUAACGUUUUCCAUUAAAGAAAAAGUGGUAUUCAGCUGGUUUUUCAUGCUAAAGUAGUUCAGGCACUGCUGCAUUUAGAAAGCUACAUGCAGUGGGCUGCCUUUGCAAGGCUAAAGUGACCAGCCAAAGUGUUGCAGACAGUAAGAAUAGUUAAGAAUGACUGUUCUACACAGAGCAAAUGACUGCUGCACUUGUGUUUGUGAAGAGAGGAAAAUCAUCUCCAGUAGUGGUGUUUGUCAGUUUCCUCUGCAUAGACAACAUUCUCAGGCUGUCUCGUCUGAACUUUUGGUAAAGAAAGGAAAAAAAGUUCUAGUCAGCCUACUCUGUGCCACUGCUGACCGUUUUUCACAUCUAACCUGCUUGUAAAAUGUAAAUUUCAGUAAUUUUUCUUUCCUUUCAGAAAGAAAUACUCAUAAUACAUGAUUUCUGAAAUCUUUCUGCAGUAAAAUUGCAAAUAAAAUAAUAUACAGCUGUUCUCCUCCUCUGAAUUGUACUGUAUAUCAGCCUGGACGAGUAGGAACACAUAGAUAUGUGGUAUUAUGAUUAACCCAUAUUAUGCAUAAGUAAGUUAUGUGCACCAACUCCAUGUCCUAAACUAAAUUACUGUAUUUCAGCCUUUUUUUGUAGUUGUUGGUUUUGGUGGAGCUUUAAAAGGAUGAAUGGUAUGCCUUGUGAGCUAGGUCUUUGUAAUUAGAAAUGCAAUGAACAUUUGCAGGUCCUUUGCUGUUUGUGGAUGUUGUGUGAUUUAUUUGUCACACUAGGAAAUCAGGCUACUGGCCUUCUUUGCAUAUUUUUCUGUUGCUAAAUUUCUUUUAAGUACACAUAAGCUGCUGAUUGCUAUAUAUUUUCUCAUCAUCUCCCUUUAUGGUCUUACUGGGUAGCACUGUGUGGUUCGAUACAGUCCUUAAUUGACAGGCUAGCUGUCUUAGGUACGCAGAGUGUGUACUCAGACAUUGUACCAUGGGUUUUCUGUCCAGAAAAUGAUUAUUUCACAGGACAUGGCACUAACAGUUCUCACUUUUGAAGAUGCCUGACUUUACACUGGCACUUCCAUGUCUGUCAGCCUGUUCCAUGAGUGGAGCAUUCCUUUCAUAUUAAGUUCCAGCACACGUUCUGCGUAGUGGAGAAGGCAGGUAUUACAUUCAUUGGUCAGGUUGAGGUAAAUGCCGUGUAGAUGUUAAAUCUGUGCUGGUCUCUUAAAUGCUAAUUACAACUGCUUUGCCCAUGCAGGAUAUUCAAAUGUGCCUUCUGCUUUAGCAGCAUCUGCAGACUGUGUGUGGGGCUUUCAGUUUGCUGGUGGGUACAUCUUAAGUGCUAAAUGGAAUAACGUGUUCCUUUUAAUGCAAGAACAGUGCAUUGAGUGUUAUUUCUUAUCUCACAGUGAAAAUUUGUGAUGUGGCACUGUUGUGAGAUGGUCUGGUUCUUGCAAAUUUUUUGCACCUGGGCAAGUGAAACAAAGAGUGGUUCUGGAAAGGACAAGCUGAAAGGAAACUGGGAGUUCAUACAAAAGAGAGGAACCCCUAUUGGUUAUGUACGCUUUUUUUGGACACCGAAAACAUUACUCUGGAUGUACAUUCUCACUGAUGACUGAUAAAUGAAGAGUGAUGCAGAUCCAUCAAAAUGAAAUACUGCACUGCUUCCCAGUUUGAAAUAGCCCCCUGCUUUACUUAAGAGUUUUAAGUUGUGUUAACUGUAGGGUGGAAAAGGUUUAUUUUUAUUUUUAUUAUUAUUAUUUUUAAAAGAAUAGCUGUUGUAUUUGGAGACAGAUACAGUAUAUUUCUAAACCCAGAGAAGGGCAUUUUAGUUGUAAUAUUGCCUAGUCAAUAGACAAUUGGGCCAGGUCUCUUCAAUAUCUUCAUCCAUGAUCUGGACAAGGAGAUCAAGUGCACCCUCAGUAAGUCUGCAGAUGACACCAGGCUGGGCAGGAGUGUUGAUCUGCUGGAGGGCAGGAGGACUCUGCAGGGGGAUCUGGGUGGGCUGGGCCCGUGGGCUGAGGCCAGCUGUAUGAGGUUCUGCAAGGCUCAGUGCCAGGUCCUGCACCUGGGGGAGUACAACCCCAUGCAAUGCUAUGGGCUGGGGGAAGAGUGGCUGGGAAGCUGCCUAGUGUAAAGGACCUGGUGAUAUUGGUCAUUUGACAGCUGAAUAUGAGCCAGCCGUGUGCUCAGGUGGCCAAGAAGGCCAACAGCAUCCUGGCUUGUAUAAGGAGUAGUGUGGCCAACAGGACCAGGGAGGUGAUGGUCCCCCUGUACUCACCUCUGGUGAGGCCACACCUUGAGUACUGUGUUCAGGUUUGGGCACCUCACUACAAGAAGGACACGGAGCUGUUGAAGUGAGCCCAGAGGAGGCCAUGAGGAUGCUCAGAGGGCUGGAGCACCUCUGCUGUGGGGACAGGCUGAGGGAGCUGGGGGCGUUCAGCCCAGAGAAGAGAAGGCUCCGGGGAGACCUUACAGCAGCCUGCCAGUGCCUAAAGGGGGCUACAGGACAGCUGGGGAGGGACUCUGUCAGGACUGGAGUGAUAGGACAAGGGGGGAUGUCUUUGAACUAAAAUAAUGGUGAUUUUACAUUAGACAUAAGGAAGAGGGUGGUGAGGCCCUGUCCCAGGCUGCCCAGAGGAGCUGUGGCUGCCCCAUCCCUGGCAGUGCUCAAGGCCAGGCUGCAUGGAGCUGGGGGCAGCCUGGGCUGGUGGGAGGUGUCCCUGCCUAUGGCAGGGCUAGGAGUUGUAUAAUCUUUAAGGUCCUUUCCAACCUAAAUUGUUCUGUGAUAGUUGGUCAAAGUCAGUUAAACCUUCUCCUUUUACUUUGCUAGUGCUAGCACUACCUUCAUUGCCUUAGAAGGACUUAGCAGAUUUGCUCUUACAGUAUUUUAUAGAAGGCUACUGAGUCUGGCUGGGUUGGAGUUAAUUUUCCUUGUAGCAGCCAGUUCAGUACUCUACUUUUGAUUUGUGACCAAAACAGUGGUGAUAAUUCACCUGUGUCUGAGCUGUUGCUGAACAGUUUGGGCUCAGCAUCAAGGCUUUACCUGUUUGCCCCUUUGCUCCCCACUGUGAUGAGGCUGGGCCUGUGCCAGAAGCGUGGAGGGGACACAGCCAGGACAGCUGACCCCAGCUGAACACGGGGAUAUUCCAUACCAUAUGGCAUUGUGAUCAGCAGGAAAAGGUUUUUUUUGGUAUGUAAUCAUUGCUUGGAGGUUGGAUGGACAUCAGUCUUACCUGUAGGAGGUGGUGAGCCAUGGCUUUUGCAUCACUUUUUUAUUUUCUUCCUUUGUUCUUCUUUUCCUUUGUUUAUUAAACAGCUUUUAUCUCUCACAUAAGUGUUUUGUUUGGUUUUACUUUUGCUCUUCCUAAUCCUGCUGAUAGGGGAAAGAGAGGGGGCAAUUGUGUGGGGCUCAGCUGCCAGCCAGGGCCAGCCGCAGGGAGGCACUGAAUGUGUGCAAGUUGCAUGUUGUAAGCUCCUGCUUGUUAUACUUGUAUCUGGGCAGGAUGUGAGCUCUUCUUUUCUUGCCAUGUUUGCUUACUGCUGUUUGAAGACUUCCUUAGAGUGAAGUAUGUGAUGUGGAGGAUCUGAGCUCCAGAUCCUCCACACUGGAGGAUAAACACUUCUUUCAAAUGCAUGCCAGAUUUUAUGCUCAGUGACAAUAGCUGGUAUUGUAGGAAAUAAUUGGCAGGCUAUGGAAUAAACUGCAACUUUAUUUUACAUGAAGUAUGGAGAAUAUAGGUUGGACCCUGAUGGAAGGGGGUGGCUUUGAAGUAAUUCUCUCCAUGUGCAUACACUAAUUGUGCUGAAAGUUAGGAUGCGAGGAUUUAAGUUUCUUUCAAUUCCUAAAGGAACAAUCAGAGUUCCAAGUUGUGCGUGGGUGCAUUGCCUCCUCUUCAGCAAAGUUGCAUUUUUUUUUUUGUCUUCCUUUUAGUGAAGAGAUGUCUGUGUACAUGCUUAAAAAGCUGUGCGGUAGCAUUUGGCUUUAGUGUUUUCGGUAGUCGACAGCAGUUGCUGUUUGUUAUUUAUUCUUAAACACAGUGUCAGGCUGAUCAAAUACCUGACAAGUUCCUUGUCAACAGUAUUGGAUUUUUGAAUAUGCAUGCUUGCUUUCCAAAAGUAUUUCUAGUGUUUGGCUGUCAGAACACUUCAGAGCCUUUGCUCGCUAGCUUACCUUCUGUUUAUAACUAGACUGCAAUUUAUGUUCCAGUAAAAUGGCUAAUGAUGUAAAUUGCAUCAGAAGUUGAAAAAUAGGGACAGCAGUCUGAAAUAAAAUCUUCAGGUUGUGGUAUUUCAAUAAAAAGCACUCUGCACUCAGCCUUGCUUUUCCUUCUUAAACCAGAGAUUAAUUUUUAAAGGUUAUGUAGGUCAAAGUGCAUCAUUAGAUGUUCCUGCAACCACCUUGGCUGAGAAGGUGAUGACUUGCUUGAAAGAUAAGAUAUUCAGUGAAGAGCUAGCAAGGUAUAGGUUGGCAUAGAAUCUUAUUCUGGUUUGCAGAGAACGAGGAGGAAUCCUGUGUAUUUUAAUCGCAGAAAGCGCAGACUUAAUGUUAGACUAUUUUUCCUAUGAUAUGUGAGAAAAUUUACAAUGUUCCUUUAGAGAUGUGUAUUUCUUGAAUAUUUUGAAUAUUCACAAAUUCUGGACAUGUUUUUAUCUACAUGUUUGUAUGUACUGCUUACUGUGUAUUACUAUAUUUGAGGGAUGACUGGUAAGAGUGAUGAAUGUCUCUUUUACAUUGUUUCGUUUUCAGAAGAACAUGGAUAUGUUUUUUUCCAAUUAUGUAGGUAGACAGAACUGCUUCUUUUGCUGAAACUGACAUCUCUAUGUACCCAUUUAAGGGCUACCUGAGAAAUGGUAAUUCCAGUUUUGGUUACAAGCCAUGCAAUAUAUACAGAGCAGCCCUCUCCGAAUACAUUUCUGUCAGGUGAAGCUCUAUCUUGUUUCUUUCACCAAAGAAGCUGGUCCAUAGAAACAGUUAAAAUUGCAGUCUGGCCAGCAGUAGGUGUGAGAACAAUUCUGUUUAAAGAAAAAAAAAAAAAGGAAGUUUGGUCUUUUUAUGAUUUUCUAGAUGAUGAUAACAAACUUUACUGAAGCUUUUUGCUUUCAAAACUCCCCAGAAAAAAUUUGCAUUUCCAGAAAGCUUUUUCUUAUGUUUAGAUUCUAACACAAACUUCGAGCAUGUUCUCAUCUAACUGUUUUCUUACAUUCCCGAGCAGUCUUCUGUUACCCUCUUGUCUUUUAGGAGGGAAUGGAUUGAUAAACAAUGAGAAGAGACAAGGCAUGCUAUUGCUGAAGAGCUCCUUAAGCAAGACCCUAACCCUGAACAUUAUCUAUUUAGACAAGCAUGAAUAGGUUGGGGUAAGACCACACAGUUCCUUGCCAAAGGAAAUUGAUUUAGGACUUGUUAGAGAAUUCUGCCACGGAAACUCAAUUUGGUUUUGUGUUUUAAUGCAUCUGGCAUUGUGCGCUACUAUAGUGUCAUGGAGUAUCAGAUUUUCUUAGAGGUAAAAAAUCUAUAGCUGGUAGAUUUAGAGAUUAAUACAGGAGCUCUGAAUGUGUAUUAGAAAGUAACAGAGAAUGCCUAAGUCAUUAAACCACAUGCAGAUAAUAAUAAAAUAAAUAAAAGUAAAAUAAACGUCUGCUUUUCUUUUCACUGUUAGCUGGAGCUUCUGUGCUGUGGUUAAUCCCAAUUUCAGGUAGAUUAAAUUGCAGUAACCUGCAGUGGGAAUAAAAAAAAAAAACAUAUCUUUUUAUCCUUUGAGGGUGAAAAUGGAUUAAUGUGUAUAAUAAAAAAAUACCUGUGGUGAGAUCAGCCUAACAUUACCUUUAUGGUUCAAACAAUUUUAGACAUGCCAGCCUGUCUACAACUAAUGUUGUGAUGAAGCUUUUCCUUUUCUCUUCUUCCAUCAUUGUUUUCUAUUGUUUGCAUUUCCUCCCAGCUCAUUGUGAAUAUGUUUAUGCUGAUGAAGGAAGUUCUGAUUGGUUCUCCCUGGAGUUUAAGGUCCUUUGUAUGUUCACAGGUUACUUGAAUAGCUGGCUAAGAGCAUGUAGAAGUCCACAUAAAGACUUAGUAGAGUAGAAACAGAUGUUGGCUGGCUGCAAAGAGGAGUUGAGCAGAACUAGUGCAGAAUUGCCCAUUAUAUUCCUGUUAUGUCUUGUGUGUCCACAGUGAGCCAUCAGCGGUUUGAAGCUUACCAGAUUUUUGCAGAGCAAAAUUCUGUAUGCAUCAUCUGUUUCCCAUCUGAUAAAACUAAAUUUCCAGUUUUCCCGGUUGCCAAGAAUUAAAUUAUUUUAGUGGCCUACAGGAAACAUACAGAAGAGGUAUUUGAAAUACUUGAUAAAAUAUUUAAAUGUAAUUAGCAGAUUAGAUAAAUUUAUAGUUUAACACAGUAAUUAAAUUUGAAAGGCACCAUGUAUUAUCCAGUAUGUCAACCAGUAUUACAUCAAAUUAAGUAUUUGUGCAGAUCGGAGAAAUAAGUAGCUUUUUUUUUUUUUGCAGUGCUUUGAAAGUUUAACAACUGUAGUAACUUCUUUACAUGCUUUUCUGGUGUUUCUGUAAUGAGAUGUGUGAUUGCCAACCAUUCCUACUGACGUGGCAGUGCGUGUUAUCUGAAGUUGUGCCACCCAGCCAUGUUAUAUAGACCACAGUUUGAGAAAUGUUGAUCUGAGGGAUUCAAAUGAUAAGAAUGAAUACGCAGCUAUUUGUCCAAGUAGUGACAAGCUUUUCCUACGUGUAACUGAGAACUUGGAAAAAAUUAUGGUUUUUGUGUGUGUUUUGUUUUCAUUUUUACGAAUCCUGUUUACUUGUUUUUAUGUUCAGAAGCUUCUUGCAAUGAUAUCCUGAAAGAAUAAACUUAAAUCAUUUU
Non-coding RNA from Anas platyrhynchos (mallard), 11417 nucleotides. NCBI's taxonomy places the organism in Eukaryota, Metazoa, Chordata, Aves, Anseriformes, Anatidae. The record is from RefSeq and is a predicted model, not a curated record.